Homo sapiens (human) is the source of this 662-nucleotide long non-coding RNA. Ensembl annotates it as long intergenic non-protein coding RNA 2032. The record is from Ensembl. Lineage: Eukaryota; Metazoa; Chordata; Mammalia; Primates; Hominidae.
AUGGUUUGCAGAACAUUGGCUACAGUAAGAACAUACUCUGCAUCAGAGAGGGUUCAACAUUAACAACGUCUGUAAAAACAGAAUCACAGCUGUCAAGAAGAGAGAGUUCAUCCAGAGACUGCACAAGGGAUUUGUACAGAAUAAAGCCUCACAAAACCCAAGGGCUGUCAGAGGGAAAUGGUAUCCAGGAGGACAGGGCAGGCCAAGCAUCCUCUCAACAGCAAAGCCACACAAGAGAGCCAGAGGCAGCACUGCGACUGCCAACACAACUGCCUAUUACGUCUGCCAAGGAGCCAGAAGCCGCUUGUGGGAAAAUAUCACUUACCCUUAGCAUCUGGGUCCUGUGAUUGUUAUCCAAAGAGACAGAGUGUGCUUUCUCCAUGUACUGUGAAACACAUCCAUCUGGAUCCACCUAUUUAAGCUACAUGCCUAGCCUCCAGAGUCAUCCAGACUUUUAGCAUAAGAACUCAAAUGAGAAAUCAUGAAGAAUGCAUUAACUGAAUCCAAUAUCACCUACAGGACCCUGGGCCCAUUGCACUUUGUAAUUGUAUUACUUUUCUUCUGGUUAUCUUCAUAGGAUCUUAGGUAUACUCUCUCUGAAAAGUGUUAAAGACAACUUCUCCCUGGGCCUGAGAAUAAAUUAUCUUUUUCCUAUCGCUGUA